CCAGCCACCGCAACGGCAAUACGCAGCACCAUGGGCCAGGAAAACGACACCCACUUCAACCUCGUUGGGUUCUCCAACUUCGUCCGGACGAACCCCCGGUCCGACCGGUUCAGGGUCCACCGGUUCCACCACGUCGAGUUCUGGUGCACCGACGCCACCAACGCCGCCCUCCGAUUCUCCUGGGGACUCGGCAUGCCCAUGGUAGCUAAGUCCGACCUCUCCACCGGCAAUCAAACCCAUGCCUCCUACCUUCUCCGCUCCGGCGACCUCAAUUUCCUCUUCACCGCCCCGUACUCCCCCACCCUGACCCGAACCGCCGACCCGGCCCGGCCCAGCAACUCCAGCGCCUCCAUCCCCACCUUCGACCACACCGCCUCCCGCGCCUUCUCUGCCACCCACGGCCUCGGCGUCCGCGCCGUCGCCAUCCAAGUCGAAGACGCCGUCUCCGCCUUCACCACCAGCGUCGCCCACGGCGCCAAACCCUCGGCCGCCCCCAUCCUCCUCGACAACCGCGUCACCAUCGCGGAAGUCCAACUCUACGGCGACGUUGUUUUGCGGUACGUCAGCUACUCGGACCACAACCACCUCACAGAUCCGGACCCCAACCUCUGGUUCCUCCCCGGAUUCGAACCCCUACCGUCGUCGUUUCCAAUCGACUUCGGAAUCCGCCGCCUCGACCACGCCGUCGGCAACGUGGAGGAUCUCAAAUCGGUGAUAUCGUACGUCAAAGGCUUCACCGGAUUCCACGAGUUCGCCGAGUUCACCGCCGACGACGUCG
RNAcentral lists this long non-coding RNA (778 nucleotides) under Malus domestica (apple). RNAcentral's name for it is "long non-coding RNA (MDOM_LNC017369)". The record is from RNAcentral. Lineage: Eukaryota; Viridiplantae; Streptophyta; Magnoliopsida; Rosales; Rosaceae.